AUUGCUUCUCUGCCUUUUGUACUUGAUCAAGUGUAGUAUCUGUUUCUUAUUAGUUUAAUAUCUGAUGCGUCCUCUAAAUGAGGGCUACACAUUAAAUUGAUAUUUACAACAAGGAGACGGAAGAGGAGCUUGCUCCGUAAGCUCCACGCAUCAACCUGGUAUUGCAGUACUUCUGGGAACAUUGUACCUCCU
Molecule: small nuclear RNA, 192 nt
Organism: Colossoma macropomum (tambaqui)
Lineage: Eukaryota; Metazoa; Chordata; Actinopteri; Characiformes; Serrasalmidae
Product: U2 spliceosomal RNA
Exons: 1
Source: RefSeq, a predicted model, not a curated record